CGGACGGGUGAGUAACGCGUGGGCAACCUGCCCUGUACUGGGGGAUAACACCUGGAAACAGGUGCUAAUACCGCAUAAGCGCGCUGUGCCGCAUGGCGCGGCGCGGAAAAACCCCGGUGGUACAGGAUGGGCCCGCGUCUGAUUAGCUGGUUGGCAGGGUAACGGCCUACCAAGGCGACGAUCAGUAGCCGGCCUGAGAGGGUGGACGGCCACACUGGGACUGAGACACGGCCCAGACUCCUACGGGAGGCAGCAG
Molecule: ribosomal RNA, 256 nt
Filed under: uncultured bacterium
Lineage: Bacteria
Description: partial 16S ribosomal RNA
Rfam family: Bacterial small subunit ribosomal RNA
Source: RNAcentral